GACGAGGGAUCCUAGCGUUGUUCGGAUUUAUUGGGCGUAAAGAGCUCGUAGGCAGCUUAGUAAGUCGGGUGUGAAACUCCAGGCUCAACCUGGAGACGCCACCCGAUACUGCUAUGGCUAGAGUCCGGUAGAGGAGUGUGGAAUUCCCAGUGUAGCGGUGAAAUGCAUAGAUAUUGGGAGGAACACCAAUGGCGAAGGCAGCACUCUGGGCCGGUACUGACGCUGAGGAGCGAAAGCGUGGGGAGCAAACAGGAUUAGAAACCCUUGUAGU
Molecule: ribosomal RNA, 271 nt
Filed under: uncultured bacterium
Lineage: Bacteria
Description: partial 16S ribosomal RNA
Rfam family: Bacterial small subunit ribosomal RNA
Source: RNAcentral